RNAcentral lists this ribosomal RNA (3579 nucleotides) under Triticum aestivum (bread wheat). RNAcentral describes it as "partial small subunit ribosomal RNA". Lineage: Eukaryota; Viridiplantae; Streptophyta; Magnoliopsida; Poales; Poaceae. The record is from RNAcentral.
AUGGAGGCGACGGCUAUCAGCAUUGGCAAGUCCGUGUUGAGCGGGGCGCUCAACUAUGCCCAGUCAGCCGUGGCCGAGGAGGUGGCUCUGCAGCUCGGUGUCCAGCGUGACCACUCCUUCAUUUCAGAUGAGCUGGAGAUGAUGCAAGGUUUCCUGAUGGCUGCACAUGACGAGCGGGACGACAGCAUGGUGGUGAAGAUAUGGGUCAAGCAAGUCCGCGAUGUGUCCUAUGCUGUCGAGGACUGCCUCCUGGACUUCGCUGUCCGUCUUGAGAAGCAAUCUUGGUGGUGCCUCUCUCGCAAGGUGCUAGCCCGGCAUUAUGUGGCAAACCAGAUGAAGGAGCUCAGAGCCAAGGUGGAGGAGGUCAGCCAGAGGAACCAGCGUUACCAGAUCAUCAGGGGCUCUAGCUCCAAACAUACCUCCGCUAUAGGGCAGCCUACCAUCUCUGGUGCGACGAUGUCUGCUGCCGAUGAUGCAAGGCUGCGGAGGCAUAAAGCUAAAAAGGAUCUCGUCGAGUUGAUCAAUUGCAAGGAUGAUGCACUUCGAGUGAUAGCGCUGUGGGGCACAAGUAGUAGUGAUCUGGGGGAGAUAUCCAUCCUAAAAAGUGCCUAUGAAGAUCUCAUGAUGCACAAGAAUUUCGAUUGCUGUGCUUGGAUUACACUGAUAGGUACUUUCAAUCAGGCAGAUUUGAUUCAAAACAUUGUUUGCCAAAUCUAUGUUAAUUCUCUUCAAGACUCUAGAAAAGAAGGUAAAACAACUAUUGGGGCCCAAGUUCUUAAGAUGACGACAACGGCGAAGGAAGAUGGUUUGGAUCAUGAGUUCAAGAGAUAUUUGAAUGACAAGAGUUACCUAAUUGUACUCAACAACAUACACAGCAUUGAAGAGUGGGAUUGCUUUAAAACAUGUUUCCCAAACAACAAUAAAGGAAGCCGAAUAAUAAUAUCCACCGAGCAAGUUGCAGUUGCAAGCUUAUGCAUAGGAGCAGAGGAUGAAGCUCUAGUGCAUAAGUACUUAUUUGCUGAUCAACCUCUUUAUGCUUUCUACAGGAAGGUUUCUCAGGAGGGGAGAAAUUCAGCAGAAAAAGGGUCCAUCUCAUACAUAGUCCCUACUGACGUUGACAACUCUACACACAAGAAUAUCCUAACUCAGACAGAGACAAUGGCUACUCUAGAGGAAUCUCAUCUCAUUGGGAGAGGGACUCAAAAGGAGGAAAUCAUCAAACUAAUCUCAAAUAAAGAUCUCCAUCAUUUUCAUGUGUUCUCCUUGUGGGGAAUGGGUGGUAUUGGAAAAACAACACUAGUGACAGAUAUUUAUCAAACCCAAGAGAUUAGUAGCAUGUUUGAUAAGCGUGCUUGUGUCACAGUUAUGCGUCCUUUCAAUCCAGCAACGCUCAUUGGGAGCUUAGCUAUGCAGUUCGGAUGUAAAAAUGGGACAGAUUUAAGGAGAUGUUUAGAAGGAAGGAGAUAUUUGCUUGUUCUUGAUGCUCUGUGGUCCAUAGUAGAGUGGGAUGCUAUAAAACAAUGUUUACCAGAAACGGCAGCAAGCUGCAUAAUAGUCACCACAAGGGAAGAGAAUAUAGCGAAGCACUGCUCCAAGGAUGAAAGAAAUAUAUACAAGCUCAACCAUCUGGGUCCUGUUGAUGCAUGUACCCUCUUCACCCAAAAGGUAUUUAAGAAGACCGUAAAUUUGGAUGAGCAAUAUCCAGAGUUGGUUGAACAAGCAAAAAUGAUAUUGAAGAAGUGCAGAGGACUUCCCCUUGCACUAGUCACCAUAGGUGGCUUCUUGGCAAGCCAACCAAAAACUGCUUUUGAAUGGAGAAAAUUGAAUGAGCAUAUCAGUGCUGAGCUGGAGAUGAAUCCAGAACUUGAGAUCAUAAAAGCAGUCCUUAUGAAAAGCUAUGAUGGUUUACCCUAUUAUCUCAAGGCUUGUUUCUUGUAUCUGGCCAUCUUUCCUGAAGACCAGCAGAUUGCACGGAGACGCUUAGCGUGUCGGUGGCUUGCAGAAGGUUACUCAAGUGAGGUGCGUGACAAGUCUGUGGAGGAUGUAUUGGACGGUUACUUCAUGGAACUUAUAAGCAGGAGCAUGAUCCUGCCAUCUCAACGGUCAAUUUAUAGUAGGAAAGGAAUUGACUCCUGCCAUGUCCAUGAUCUCAUUCGUGAAAUUGCCAUCUCAAAGGCUAUGGAGGAAAAUCUUGUUUUCACAUUGGAGGAAGGGUGCAGCAUAAACAACCAAGGAACAGUGCGUCAUCUUGCUGUAAGCAGCAAUUGGAAGGGGGAUCAGUGUGAUUUUGAGAAUAUAGUAGACUUGUCGCAUGUACGAUCGUUGACUGUGUUUGGAAAUUGGAGGCCAUUUUACAUUUCUGAUAAGAUGAGGUUGCUACGAGUGCUGGAUUUAGAAGGCGAGUGGGAUCUAGUUGAUCAUCAUCUUGAGCACAUUGGGAAGCUUGUACAUCUUAGAUAUCUUUCUCUAAGAGGACAUGCUUCUGUAUUUCACCUGCCAAAUCCGUUGGGGAAUCUGAGGCAACUCCAGACACUAGAUAUUUCAGGUACGAGCAUAAUGAAGCUACCAAGGACCAUCACCAAGCUUGUGAAGAUGCGACGCAUUCUGGCUAGUCCAUGGGAGGAUUUAUAUGAAGAUGCAAUUGAGCAGUCACUAAUGACUUUGCCUUUAUGUUCAGUGUUUUGUUGUGUGGCAUGCUGUGCACCUAGGAUUCUGGCAGAGGAACUUGACCUUGACGAUGGUGGACAACUUAACAGGCGUGAUGUAUGCACUGCAUUCUGUUGCAGCAUAUUACCUUAUUAUGCGGCAGGAGGACGAAAUCCAGGUGGUGUGGAGAUGCCAAGAGGGAUUUGGAAACUGAAGGCCCUACACACACUGCAUACUGUAGACGUCUCAGCGGGAAAGGCUGUUCUAAAAGAUAUAAGAAAGCUCACCCGGUUGCGCAAGUUAGGAGUGACAGGCAUCAACAAGAGAAACGGUCAAGAGUUGUGUUCAGCAAUUGAUCGUCUCAGCAGCCUGGAGUCAUUGUCACUACACUCACAUGGAGAGACAGGUUUAUCAGGCUGCUUGGAUGGGCUAUUCUCACCUCCAGAAAACCUGCAGAGCCUCAAGUUGAUAGGCAACCUGGUUAAACUGCCGGAGUGGAUCCAGGGCCUCAAAAAUCUGGUGAAGCUGAAGCUAUGGAGGUCGAGGAUAUCGGAACAUGAUGCGGUCAUACAAGUCCUUGGGAACCUACCAAACCUGGCCACCCUCCGUCUAUUGCAUGCCUCGUUCGUUGGUGAAGAGGUCUGUUUCAGUUUCCGUGGGGAGGCAUUCCCGAGCCUGAAGGUGCUGCAGCUGUAUCUGAUAAAAAACCUCAAGUCGGUGGGGUUUGAAGAAGGAACAGCCCCUAAGCUUGAGUUGCUGCGGUAUUGUGGUGCGGAACAUCCCAGUGUUGGGUUGUUCUGUGGGUUGCGACAUCUCCCAUGUCUCAAGGAAUUUAUGCUGUAUAGCUUGCACUGGAGAAAGACCGAGUUUGUGGAGGACUUGCAAGGCCAGCUGGCAGAGAAUAAAAACAAGCCCGUUUUGAAGAGUAGCUAG